Molecule: long non-coding RNA, 346 nt
Organism: Eptesicus fuscus (big brown bat)
Lineage: Eukaryota; Metazoa; Chordata; Mammalia; Chiroptera; Vespertilionidae
Exons: 3
Source: RefSeq, a predicted model, not a curated record
AAUGCUGGUACACACGAAAAGCAUGUUACUUCCCUCACAAGUCACUGAAAUAAUGAGUCAGACCAUGACAAGCUUCAGGAGGACUUAACAGGAGUCAAGAGUAUGGGUAUCUGGCCUGUUGCUACUAUGGAACCUGCGGAAAGGAGUGAGUGGUCAGGAGGUGGGAAAUAACAGCUGGAAAAGAGGCACUGGGCCUGGACCUCGCUGUGGCAGAAGAGUGGUCAGGCCCUGCAGCCCAACACUGCCCCAAAGGCCCUGCUCCUUCCCAGAACUUCUGUCCUAAGCCUGAAGCCAUAGUAACACAGAGGUGUACACAAAGCAAACCACAAAAAAUAAACAGUUUUUC